UACUGUGCGACCGUUAUUCGGCUUCACUGGGCUUAAAGGGUGCGUAGGCGGCUUGUUAAGUCGGGUGUGAAAGCCCCCAGCUCAACUGGGGAACUGCACUCUAUACUGGCGAGCUGGAGUGAGAUAGGGGUGUGUGGAACUGCCAGUGGAGCGGUGAAAUGUGUUGAUAUUGGCAGGAACGCCGGUGGCGAAAGCGACACACUGGGGCUCAACUGACGCUGAGGCACGAAAGCCAGGGGAGCGAACGGG
Molecule: ribosomal RNA, 249 nt
Filed under: uncultured bacterium
Lineage: Bacteria
Description: partial 16S ribosomal RNA
Rfam family: Bacterial small subunit ribosomal RNA
Source: RNAcentral